This 500-nucleotide ribosomal RNA is filed under the name uncultured bacterium. Its description in RNAcentral is "partial 16S ribosomal RNA". It matches the Rfam family "Bacterial small subunit ribosomal RNA", at positions 30 to 523 of the family's 1533-position model. The record is from RNAcentral.
AUUGAACGCUGGCGGCAUGCUUUACACAUGCAAGUCGAACGGUAACAGGGUGGUUGCACCGCUGACGAGUGGCGAACGGGUGAGUAAUGCGUCGGAACGUGCCGAGUAGUGGGGGAAAACGCAGCGAAAGUUGUGCUAAUACCGCAUACGUACUGAGGUAGAAAGUGGGGGACCUUCGGGCCUCACGCUAUUCGAGCGGCCGACGUCUGAUUAGCUAGUAGGUGAGGUAAAGGCUCACCUAGGCGACGAUCAGUAGCGGGUCUGAGAGGAUGAUCCGCCACACUGGGACUGAGACACGGCCCAGACUCCUACGGGAGGCAGCAGUGGGGAAUUUUGGACAAUGGGCGAAAGCCUGAUCCAGCCAUGCCGCGUGUCUGAAGAAGGCCUUCGGGUUGUAAAGGACUUUUGUCAGGGAGGAAAUCCCUAGUGCUAAUAACACUGGGGGAUGACAGUACCUGAAGAAUAAGCACCGGCUAACUACGUGCCAGCCGCCGCAGUAA